This is an RNA transcript of Lutra lutra (Eurasian river otter), 1436 nucleotides long. It is a transcript of the gene named transmembrane protein 128, with no coding region annotated. Lineage: Eukaryota; Metazoa; Chordata; Mammalia; Carnivora; Mustelidae. The record is from RefSeq and is a predicted model, not a curated record. The transcript has 6 exons.
AAGUUCCUGUUGUUGCGUCACUUCCGUCGCGCUUCUGGGCGGUGCCAAGAUGGACGCUCCGCGGGCCCGGGAGCAGCUCCGACGGCGAUACCUGUUCCCGCCCGACACCGAGGCCCCGCUGGACAGCGAGGGCUACGCCGGGCCGGAAACCUCUACAGCUGUUGAAAAAAAGGAGAAACCUCUUCCAAGACUUAAUAUCCAUUCCGGAUUCUGGAUUUUGGCAUCCAUUGUUGUGACAUACUACGUUGAUUUCUUUAAAACUGUUAAAGAAAACUUUCACACUAGUAGCUGGUUUGUCAUUGGCAGUGCCCUGCUGCUCCUCAGCCUGUCGAUCGCAUGUUACUGUAUCCUCUACCUGGAGUGGUGUCGGGGAAUUGAAGAUUACGACGUCCGGUAUCCCACCUUGAUCCCUGUCACCACCGCUGCUUUUCUUGCGGCUGGAAUUUGCUUCAAUGUUGCUCUGUGGCACGUGUGGUCCUUCCUCACUCCACUGGUGUUGUUCACUCAGUUUAUGGGGGUUGUGAUGCUCAUCUCACUGCUUGGCUGAUUUCUAAAGGGCCCUCCUCCAUGGAGCAGCCAGGGUUUCCUCCCCGCAGAGGAGCUCCAAUCCAAAGAUGGCCUUGGGACUACCUUCACCGACAGAGUACGCCAGAAAGGACGUUGUGUGGCUUCUAAGGCUGGGUCGUAAAGGCCAUUUGGCUUCUGCUGGGUCUCUUGGAGCGCUUGCCAUCCAGGUGUUCCCUCCUGGGAUGCUCCCUCUCAAAGCCCAGCUGUAAAGCCAUGGCAGGUUCAAGCCACAUGCAGAGGGUGUGUGGGGAACCCAGCUGAGCCCAACCUUUGGGUUCAUUCAGGUGCCAGAAUGUGAAUGAAACCUUCAGGGGUUUCAGCCCUGGCCAUCAAGCCAUCUGCAGCUGCUCUCAUCUUCCCCGAUAAGGGCCUGAACACCGUAGAGCAAAGGAAAAAGCAGCCCGCUUCCCCCAUGUCCCCUGCAAAUUCUGACCCCAGAUCCAUGGGCACAACAAAAUGGUCACUAUGCGCCCCUAAGUUGGGUGGGUGAUUGGGUUGUGGUAGAACUUGCUGCUGACAACAGACGCCAUCACUGAGCUGCCUUUCCCUGGGAAGACCUGCCUGGUGGACGUUUGAUCACAUCAGAUCCCUUCCAUCAUGGAGGGAACAGAGAUUUGUCCUCCCUAGAAGAGACAUGGACGCCGAAGGUGAGUUUGCCUUUCCUCCCCGUGCCGCUUCUGCUGGCUUGUCCACGAUCAGUCUUCCACACCACACUGCUGCUGACCCCCGACCAUGGACUUAACCCAGUGCCCAGGACUUCCCAUCCAGCCAGAGCCCAUUCUAGUGCUUUCCAAAGGAUUUGCAUAGAAAAGAAUGAUAGUAGCGGAAAAAGAAGUUAAAUCCUAAUAAAGACUGUAGCUUAGCUAGUA